RNAcentral lists this long non-coding RNA (369 nucleotides) under Dasypus novemcinctus (nine-banded armadillo). RNAcentral describes it as "lncRNA (ENSDNOG00000052878.1)". The record is from RNAcentral. Lineage: Eukaryota; Metazoa; Chordata; Mammalia; Cingulata; Dasypodidae.
GUUUACACUCCUGACAGCCGCGGCCGCCGGCGGGGAGUGGGAGCCGCGGGAGGAUGGGCCGCCGCUAGGCUCGCACUCGGGACGCGCCUCGCCGUGCGCCGGGAGGGGGCCCGCGCCUGCAGCGUCCGUGAGGGCGGGGCGGCGGGACGUGGCCGACCGGCUCCGGGUCUCGUAGCCACAGCCCCUGGCCCCGCGGGCCUCUCCAGCGAGGCGGCGCCUGGCCGAGUCGCCCGCCCGCCCCGGGCCCCUCGCGGACCGGAGAACGGAAAACUCCCAACUUCCUGAUUUCUAAAGUUCCUGUGACUUCAGACAAUGGAUGAACAAUCACAAGGAAUGCAAGGGGCACCUGUUCCUCAGUUCCAGCCACAG